This 406-nucleotide ribosomal RNA is filed under the name uncultured bacterium. RNAcentral's name for it is "partial 16S ribosomal RNA". It matches the Rfam family "Bacterial small subunit ribosomal RNA", at positions 29 to 526 of the family's 1533-position model. The record is from RNAcentral.
AUUGAACGCUGGCGGCAGGCUUAACACAUGCAAGUCGAGCGAGCGGCGGACGGGUGAGUAAUGUCUGGGAAACUGCCUGAUGGAGGGGGAUAACUACUGGAAACGGUAGCUAAUACCGCAUACCAUCAGAUGUGCCCAGAUGGGAUUAGCUAGUAGGUGGGGUAAUGGCUGACCUAGGCGACGUUCCCUAGCUGGUCUGAGAGGAUGACCGGCCAAACUGGAACUGAGACACGGCCCGGACUCCAACGGAGGGCAGCAGUGGGGAAUAUUGCACAAGGGGCGCAAGCCUGAUGCAGCCAGGCGGCGUGUGGGAAGAAGGCCUUCGGGUUGUAAAGCACUUUCAGCGGGGAGGCGUUACUCGCAGAGGAAGCACCGGCUAACUCCGUGCCAGCCGCCGCGGUAAUAC